AGUCGGACCGCAGGUCUAAGAGAACCGACGAUCCAGUUCAAAUAAACCGGUUCAGUCUAACAAAGUGAUUCCCGGAAAAUAAUCGACGUCUCAGGGCAUUUCAAAGUGCGCGGAUGCACAGCGAGUGUGGUAGGCCGCGUUAGUGAGGUGAUUUUAUGCUUUUGUGGUUUAUAAAGUCUUUUUACAUACAAGUUAUAACUCAAAAUGUUGUUUUUUCCUGUCAGAAAAGCACAUGGAUACAUUUGUGAGAGAAAAACUCGUCGAGUGCAGCCUUAUUGAGGCGUCUAACGGUUGGAACAAACAUGGAAUUCCUUAACCGAGCAGAGUCGACAAAACCCCAUACAAUUGUUGUGGCGAUUUAAAAAUGCCAGCAGAUCUCUCAGGCAUUGAUCAUAAUCAAUGGACAGGUCACCGUAGCCACCAGAUCCAGUAUGUAUCCAGAUCAGAUGGUGGAUCAGCAC
Molecule: long non-coding RNA, 461 nt
Organism: Carassius auratus (goldfish)
Lineage: Eukaryota; Metazoa; Chordata; Actinopteri; Cypriniformes; Cyprinidae
Exons: 3
Source: RefSeq, a predicted model, not a curated record